AUACGUAGGGGGCGAGCGUUGUCCGGAAUUAUUGGGCGUAAAGGGCGCGUAGGCGGUGACACAAGUCAGGUGAUAAAGGCACGGGCUCAACCGGUGUUAGGCACUUGAAACUGUGUUGCUAGAGUGCAGGAGAGGGGAGUGGAAUUCCAGGUGUAGCGGUGAAAUGCGUAGAUAUCUGGAAGAACACCAGUGGCGAAGGCGGCUCUCUGGACCGUAACUGACGCUGAGGCGCGAAAGCUGGGGGAGCAAACGGGAUUAGAUACCCUGGUAGUCCCAGCCGUAAACGAUGAACACUAGGUGUAGGGGGUAUCGACCCCCCCUGUGCCGGAGCUAACGCAAUAAGUACCCCGCCUGGGGAGUACGGCCGCAAGGUUGAA
Molecule: ribosomal RNA, 377 nt
Filed under: uncultured bacterium
Lineage: Bacteria
Description: bacterial SSU rRNA
Rfam family: Bacterial small subunit ribosomal RNA
Source: RNAcentral